CGGGUGAGUAACGCGUAGGUAACCUGCCUUGUAGCGGGGGAUAACUAUUGGAAACGAUAGCUAAUACCGCAUAACAAUGGGUGACACAUGUCAUUUAUUUGAAAGGGGCAACUGCUCCACUACAAGAUGGACCUGCGUUGUAUUAGCUAGUAGGUGAGGUAACGGCUCACCUAGGCGACGAUACAUAGCCGACCUGAGAGGGUGAUCGGCCACACUGGGACUGAGACACGGUCCAAACUCCUACGGGAGGCAGCAUG
RNAcentral lists this ribosomal RNA (257 nucleotides) under uncultured bacterium. RNAcentral describes it as "partial 16S ribosomal RNA". It matches the Rfam family "Bacterial small subunit ribosomal RNA", at positions 103 to 353 of the family's 1533-position model. The record is from RNAcentral.